This 289-nucleotide unclassified non-coding RNA is filed under the name Pseudopithomyces sp. RNAcentral describes it as "partial internal transcribed spacer region". The stretch from base 1 to 46 matches the Rfam family "Eukaryotic small subunit ribosomal RNA", at positions 1786 to 1831 of the family's 1831-position model. Lineage: Eukaryota; Fungi; Ascomycota; Dothideomycetes; Pleosporales; Didymosphaeriaceae. The record is from RNAcentral.
AAGUCGUAACAAGGUUUCCGUAGGUGAACCUGCGGAAGGAUCAUUAACCUUUCAAAUCAGGGUGCGGCGCGGCCCCCGAGGAGCGGAAACAAUCCUUGGGAGGUAUGCGGGGGCUUCGAGCCCCCCAUUUACGCACGCACGACUGCCAUCCUUACUUUACGAGCACCUUCUGUUCUCCCUCGGCGGGGCAACCUGCCGUUGGAACCGAAUAAACUCUUUUUGCAUCUAGCAUUACCUGUUCCGAAACAAACAGUCGUUACAACUUUCAACAAUGGAUCUCUUGGCUCUG